UCGCAAUUUCCAAGCCCUUGAACAUCAACAGGUAGUCUCAUGGCAGCAAGAUCACCGUAUGUGCAGUCAGCAAGAUCACCGUAUGUGCAGUCUCUUCUGAAGGACAAAAUGGGGGGCACCACAAAUUGAUGGAAAUGUGUCCCUGUCGGGGCCCAACUUUGCUCCCCUGGUGUGAUCCACUUCCCCACGAUCCAGGUCUACCAUUGGUUCCAAUACGACCCCGUCACAUUCAAAAUUCACAAAUAAUAUUUUGAACAAAUAGAACAACCCAAUUCAAUUCAUAGUAUUCCUAU
Molecule: long non-coding RNA, 293 nt
Filed under: Populus trichocarpa (black cottonwood)
Lineage: Eukaryota; Viridiplantae; Streptophyta; Magnoliopsida; Malpighiales; Salicaceae
Description: long non-coding RNA (PTRI_LNC001825)
Source: RNAcentral